CGCCUUAUACAUGCAAGUCGAACGCAGUAGCAAUACUGAGUGGCAAACGGGUGAGUAUAAUGUGGGUAUCUACCUUUUGGUUUGGAAUAACAUGAGGAAACUUGUGCUAAUACCGAAUAAGCCUUCACAGGGAAAGUUUUACACGCCGAAAGAUGAGCCCGCACUUGAUUAGUUUGUUGGUGAGGUAAUGGCUCACCAAGACAAUUAUCAAUAGCUGGUCUGAGAGGACGAUCAGCCACAUUGGGACUGAGACACGGCCCAGACUCCUACGGGAGGCAGCAGUAAGGAAUCUUGCACAAUGGGGGAAACCCUGAUGCAGCGAUGCCGCGUGAGUGAAGAAGGCCCUUGGGUUGUAAAACUCUUUCGUCGGGGAAGAAAAUGACUGUACCCGAAUAAGAAGGUCCGGCUAACUUCGUGCCAGCAGCCGCGGUAAUACGAAGGGACCUAGCGUAGUUCGGAAUUACUGGGCUUAAAGAGCUCGUAGGUGGUUAAAAAAGUUGAUGGUGAAAUCCCAAGGCUCAACCUUGGAACUGCCAUCAAAACUUUUUAGCUAGAGUGUGAUAGAGGAAAGUGGAAUUUCUAGUGUAGAGGUGAAAUUCGUAGAUAUUAGAAAGAACACCAAAUGCGAAGGCAACUUUCUGGGUCACUACUGACACUGAGGAGCGAAAGCAUGGGUAGCGAAGAGGAUUAGAUACCCUCGUAGUCCAUGCCGUAAACGAUGUGUGCUAGACGUUGGAAAUAUAUUUUUCAGUGUCGCAGCGAAAGCAUUAAGCACACCGCCUGGGGAGUACGACCGCA
Molecule: ribosomal RNA, 798 nt
Filed under: uncultured Pelagibacteraceae bacterium
Lineage: Bacteria; Pseudomonadati; Pseudomonadota; Alphaproteobacteria; Candidatus Pelagibacterales; Candidatus Pelagibacteraceae
Description: bacterial SSU rRNA
Rfam family: Bacterial small subunit ribosomal RNA
Source: RNAcentral